This 71-nucleotide transfer RNA is filed under the name Ictidomys tridecemlineatus (thirteen-lined ground squirrel). Its description in RNAcentral is "Spermophilus tridecemlineatus (thirteen-lined ground squirrel) tRNA". It matches the Rfam family "tRNA". Rfam says of the family: Transfer RNA (tRNA) molecules are approximately 80 nucleotides in length. Their secondary structure includes four short double-helical elements and three loops (D, anti-codon, and T loops). The record is from Rfam by way of RNAcentral. Lineage: Eukaryota; Metazoa; Chordata; Mammalia; Rodentia; Sciuridae.
GUGGGUGUAACUCAAUGGUAGAGUGCUUGCCUAGCAUAUGUGAGGUCUGGGUUUGAUCCCCAGCAUUAUCA